CUAACAUUACUUGAACAGGAUAUGUUCUAUAGGCUCGUACUACUGUAUCCUUGAGCUCUAGGGACACAGGUAAACCAUGUCCGGUGGAUGAAUUGUGGCCAUGAGACUAGAGCGUGAUUAACAGCCCCCAUUGUCCGCUGGGUGAUGAACUAGUAGAGGAUCGUUCUCAGCGUAGUUCGCUGGGGCUAGAGAUGGUCUCGUGUCUAUCGACAA
Molecule: small nucleolar RNA, 213 nt
Organism: Lycium ferocissimum
Lineage: Eukaryota; Viridiplantae; Streptophyta; Magnoliopsida; Solanales; Solanaceae
Product: small nucleolar RNA U3
Exons: 1
Source: RefSeq, a predicted model, not a curated record